AUUGAACGCUGGCGGCAGGCUUAACACAUGCAAGUCGAACGAGUGGCGGACGGGUGAGUAAUGCUUGGGAAUCUAGCUUAUGGAGGGGGAUAACUACGGGAAACUGUAGCUAAUACCGCGUACCAUAGGAUGAGCCCAAGUGGGAUUAGGUAGUUGGUGAGGUAAAGGCUCACCAAGCCGACGAUCGCUAGCUGGUCUGAGAGGAGGACCGGCACAACUGGGACUGGGACACGGCCCAGCCCCCUACGGGAGGAAGCAGUGGGGAAUAUUGCGCAAUGGGGGAAACCUGACGCAGCAAUGCCGCGUGAAUGAAGAAGGCCUUGGGGUGGUAAAGUUCUUUCGGUAGCGAGGCGUUAACUACAGAAGAAGCACCGGCUAACUCCGUGCCAGCAGCCGCGGUAAUUC
Molecule: ribosomal RNA, 405 nt
Filed under: uncultured bacterium
Lineage: Bacteria
Description: partial 16S ribosomal RNA
Rfam family: Bacterial small subunit ribosomal RNA
Source: RNAcentral